Molecule: ribosomal RNA, 467 nt
Filed under: uncultured bacterium
Lineage: Bacteria
Description: partial 16S ribosomal RNA
Rfam family: Bacterial small subunit ribosomal RNA
Source: RNAcentral
ACGAACGCUGGCGGUGUGCUUAACACCUGCAAGUCGAACGGUAAGGCCCUUUCGGGGGUACACGAGUGGCGAACGGGUGAGUAACACGUGAGUAACCUGCCCUCAUCUCUGGGAUAACAGUCGGAAACGGUUGCUAAUACUGGAUAUGAGCUUGCAAGGCAUCUUGUGGGUUGGAAAGAUUUUUUUUGGUUGGGGAUGGACUCGCGGCCUAUCAGCUUGUUGGUGAGGUAGUGGCUCACCAAGGCUUCGACGGGUAGCCGGCCUGAGAGGGCGACCGGCCACAUUGGGACUGAGAUACGGCCCAAACUUCUACGGGAGGCAGCAAUGGGGAAUAUUGCACAAUGGACGGAAGUCUGAUGCAGCAACGCCGCGUGCGGGAUGACGGCCUUCGGGUUGUAAACCGCUUUCAAUUGUGACGAAGCUUUUUUGUGACGGUAGCAGUAGAAGAAGCACCGGCUAACUACGUG